This 322-nucleotide ribosomal RNA is filed under the name Salmonella enterica subsp. enterica serovar Saintpaul. RNAcentral's name for it is "partial 23S ribosomal RNA". It matches the Rfam family "Bacterial large subunit ribosomal RNA", at positions 2045 to 2366 of the family's 2925-position model. Lineage: Bacteria; Pseudomonadati; Pseudomonadota; Gammaproteobacteria; Enterobacterales; Enterobacteriaceae. The record is from RNAcentral.
AACUCGCUGUGAAGAUGCAGUGUACCCGCGGCAAGACGGAAAGACCCCGUGAACCUUUACUAUAGCUUGACACUGAACAUUGAGCCUUGAUGUGUAGGAUAGGUGGGAGGCUUUGAAGUGUGGACGCCAGUCUGCAUGGAGCCGACCUUGAAAUACCACCCUUUAAUGUUUGAUGUUCUAACGUGGACCCGUAAUCCGGGUUGCGGACAGUGUCUGGUGGGUAGUUUGACUGGGGCGGUCUCCUCCUAAAGAGUAACGGAGGAGCACGAAGGUUGGCUAAUCCUGGUCGGACAUCAGGAGGUUAGUGCAAUGGCAUAAGCCA